Molecule: ribosomal RNA, 3958 nt
Filed under: Triticum aestivum (bread wheat)
Lineage: Eukaryota; Viridiplantae; Streptophyta; Magnoliopsida; Poales; Poaceae
Description: partial small subunit ribosomal RNA
Source: RNAcentral
GAUGCCAUUUUCUUUUAGGGGAAUAGAGAUCAAAGUGGCUCGAGAAAGGUCUCUCGUGCUCUCGUAGGGUUUAGGGAUCGGCGGCGGCGACCACAUGGGGUUUAGGGAGCGGCGGCCGACGUGGAGGAGUUUAGGAUCGGAAGGACUUGGAGAGUGGGCGGGGACGGGAGAUAAGGAGCCGAGCGGUUGGUGACUUGGCGUAGGAGUCGUAGCUUGCAGCGGCAGGAGCAGAGUCGGCGGCGGCGGCGGCAGGAGCAGGGUCGGCACCAACAGCGGUAGGUUCAGUGUUGGCGGCGGCAGAGGCAGGUUCAAGAUCUGCGACGGCGGCGGUAGGAGCAGGUUCGGCGGCGGUGGCGGCAGGAGCAGGGUCAGCGGAAGCAGUGGCAGGGCGGUGGCGUCGAGAUAGCAGGAGGUUGGCGGCAGGCAAGGGGUAGUUCAGUAGAGUAGGAGACGGAUCAAGUCCUUCACCACUCCGAGCGAACCUAGAUCGUGUCCCGCAAAGGUGAGAUGACCGACCGAUAAUUGAGUCGAAUCUAGAACCUAGACGAUCACCUGAAACCCUCAAACAAUCGGUCGAACCACUGAGGUGUGAAAAAGUGAUAAAGUCGUUCGGAAACUUAAACAAUCUACCGUCUAACACGUACCUACAUAUCACCAACCGUCAUACCAGUUUAUGGAAGAUUGAAUACCGAACUUGUUUGGUUGGCUAAAGAUCUGGUACGUAAGAGAACAGGACCACAUCGGCUUACACCAUUUUAGUUCACAGGUACACGAUUCACAGUAUUAAUAUUAUUCGCGCCGUCCCUACUCCAUCUCUUUGUGAACAUAUUUAUACCCAAAUCCCUUUUGAUACUUUGCACCUAUCUUGUACCACUCUUCAUACAAGGAUCGGUUCUACCUAGAAGGAGACGGUGUUUAACACACUCCGUGCUGCUUUAACUGGCUUACCUGUUAUACAAUCAACUGGAUCCACCGUUGACAGGAGGUGGUUAACUACUUCUUGGUUGGAGGAGACGGUUCCGAAAGAUAUCCUACCAAUCGUCACGACUACUUUAACAGGUACUCUUGUGUUGUGUGAGUGCAGAAAGACGUCAUCGGGCAAACGAUCGUGAUUUUAGAGUCAUAUUAUACAGUUAACGUCUUAUACUACUACACAAUGUUUAGUAGGUACUUGAAUACGGAGGCCCACGAUUGAACAGGUUCCUGAAGAUGGUUAGAUUCUUUGAGAAUCUUCCGGAACCAUACGGAAUACAGUUCUAACUACAGACAUUUUUAUUAACGUACAACAUGAUAUUUCUAUUACUCGUAUUUCUCUUCACACUGUAGACGCCAUGUAGAGCGAUGCUCCUUCCGGUCUUAUUUCAGGGUGCAUUUCACAACUCUAUAGAGGGAGACUUUCUAUCUAAUAUCUCCAACAUACGUGUACUCCUUUAUCGUUUUGUAUACGUCAGCGUAUCAGCAAGGUUAAGACUAUUCUACCAGGUGGGAUAACUACCACUUCGAACCGUUCCCAUACUGUUCCUCAAGAGUCUUAAACGUCUUCUAGCAUCUUUACAGGCAGAACAGUAUCGACCACUACCAAAAUGUGGUAUGUUCAACUUACGACGAGGUAUAUGAACGACCGGAUGAAAGUAUCGAGGUAAUUUGGAAGGUGGGCCAUAAGAGAACUUUGGUCUCAUAUAUAAGGAAUCGGAACAAUAGGGACCAGGACUUGUAGGACCUUUUUUAAACUCACAGGAUUACGUUGGAAAUCGACUACUUGAUUACGUUAACACCCUGCCCCAACUUUGUACCCUACGAAUAGUGUUCCAUUUGAAGGGUUACUUUCGCCGUAAAGAUACCAGUCAGGUGCUGAAAGGACGCAAACCAUACAAACGACCCACCUCGUGGGUACCGUUCGAUCGUACGGGGCUUACGUACUCACUAAGGUUUCGUAAAUGAGAAGUUAUGCCCGCCUUCGGAACGACCAAACUAACAGUAUCCGUGAAAGAUGGAGGUCUAGUACUUAAGUCUAAGGUUCGGUUAAGUAAAUCUUUCCUAUGUUAUCACAAUCUUCCCGGUGGUUCCACAAAUUGUCCUCUCCUUCACCUUUGAGUGUACAUGUGUGUACACUUACUGUGGAAGUUAAUGUUAUUUAACGUGUUAACCUGAGUGUAUUCAACGAAAACCGUUGAAGGUAUGAAGUUUUUCAACUUCGAGGCUGUGUUGUAACUACACUACGUGUUACUUUCUUUACGUCGACUUCGAUAUAAAUUGUGUACGAAACUGUAAGGGCUAUUUUGAUUUCUAUUACACUUCCGUUCUUUUCUAGAUCGACUUUAAACGUUGGCAGGAAGCUACGUGAAUUUUAACUUCCUGAUACCCUUCACCCUGUUCGGUCUUCCACUGUCCUUUAAAUUUAUACGACUGGGUUUAAGGUUCGUGAUGUUCAUAUUAUACGUUGAACCUUAGUAAGAAUUUGCUCUUGUGGGUCCCUAUUAACUCUUCUUCCUUCCACUAUAACAGUAAUUUUGGGCGGGUCGAAACCUCACCAAACUAAUAAUACUAUUACUAUGAGAUCUACUAUUCCCCGUCCGACGACGUCUAGCACACUUCCUACAAAAAACCUUGAACAAACUCUAGGUGCACUUUCUACUACUUCUAGAUCUGUUCCACCUCCUACUACGACUAGAACACAACCUGUUGAUGCGUUACUUUUUUCACUCUCUGUGCUACAUAGUUGAAACACACCUACGACACUUCAAGAUGAAACUCUUUGUUCCUCUCGCCGAACUACUGUGUAGCCGUACAAGUUUUCUUGAACUUAUACGGGUUAUGAACCUCACGUCUUAUGGUACCAAAUUCCUUGUACGUACCGGAGUAGAAACACGAAUAACCACGAGUUUCUGCAAGUUCAGGAAUUCCUUCUCUCCCAUCCUUAGGGCUAAGUUCUCACUUCUACAACGAGUUUUAGCCCCUCCAAGUGAAAGUAAACACCUCCGAGCUGUUUAAGACCGACUCUUUAUACCUGGACUCUUCCGAUGGUGCGACUUAUGUAUACGACGUUACUUUAGACCUGAGUUCUUAACCCUACCGUCACCAUCGUGGUCGUGCUGGGAGUCGCCCUUCCGUUUUUUUACGAAACUACUAAUGAGACUAAACCGAUCUCGGCGUGUAGGACUACUAACCCUCGUCGCUCUCAACCUACCCGUUUAUAAUAUACUUAGUAAUCCACCGUAAGGGGUACCCGCUGAUCGUUAUCGUCUACCCCGCUAAUUCUUCCGACUACAAUAGAGUUGUAGAUCUCUUUUCUUUAACUCCGGCAGUUGAAGUCGUCGUGUAGCUGCUUGACAAGUUCUUUUACUUCUCAACUUCGCUGUAUUACUCUUGGACGUCACUGUAUUACUCUUGGACGUUGUAUUUCACCUAUACGUACUUGCCUAGGAUCACCGGGAAAAAUUCCUCUACCCUUUUCUUGAUGGUUACCUCGAUGUGGUUCCUCGCUCAAGGGUUGGUGUACCCUGUGGAUUAAGUAGAGUAUACUCUGGGGUUCGGUGGCUACUGUUGUGACCACUACUACUAGACCCACGUUUACCACCACGACUGUUGAGGUCACCCUUAUGGUCACUGUUGUUACAAUCACGACCACCACCGCUGUGAUCAAUAUUGUAAGCACUUUGACUCUGGAUCUUAGUAUCUACCAACAACAUUGGAACCAUCACGGAAAACAACUGAACCUCGGUCUGAAAUCUUAAUUACAACCACAACCGUUGUUUCGUCGUAAAACGAUCAACGUUCUGAAAUCUUGAUUUCCACCACAAACGUUGUUCCAUCGUAAAACCAUCAACGUUCUGAAAUCUACUUGAUACUACAUGAAACGAACAUAACGAAACCUAUACGUUUUGACUACCAAUAGGAACAUUCGACUCUUGACAAUACAUCUAACAAAGACUACGAAACCUACACGUUUUAACUACCU